ACAAUCAGAGGCAGGUUGGGGUGGAAUGAGGCCCAAUUGACACCACGAUCAUGCCCUUCCAAGACAUACUUAACAACAGUAUCAACACCGCCAAAAAGAUCUGUGUUCAUCUGACUUAGUCGCAGAAUGUCAUCUGCCGGUGAUACGGUCUUCUUUUUCAGGGAACCAAUAUCCCAAACUCGGACAGUCUGAUCUAGAGAGGCAGAUACAACAAGGUCUUCUUUAGGAUGGAAUGAGGCACACAUGACAUAAUGAUUGUGCCCUGUCAACACUGAAAUACAAGUACGUGACUGCCAAUUCCAUAUACGAAUGGUCUGGUCAUCACUGGCACUCACAAUCCACGGGUAUUCGUGGUGAAACUGCA
RNAcentral lists this long non-coding RNA (364 nucleotides) under Malus domestica (apple). Its description in RNAcentral is "long non-coding RNA (MDOM_LNC006338)". The record is from RNAcentral. Lineage: Eukaryota; Viridiplantae; Streptophyta; Magnoliopsida; Rosales; Rosaceae.